Long non-coding RNA from Dicentrarchus labrax (European seabass), 934 nucleotides. RefSeq lists it as uncharacterized. The transcript has 3 exons. NCBI's taxonomy places the organism in Eukaryota, Metazoa, Chordata, Actinopteri, Moronidae. The record is from RefSeq and is a predicted model, not a curated record.
GUUGAAAGUUGAUCAGUGAAGUGCUAGCAUGUCUCUGCUAUUUUUUAGAUUUGGUCCUCUUUCUUUGUCACUUUUUCUCUCUCUGUCUACUUUUUCAUCCCACACCACAGAUGGAAAUGAAGGCAUGGCCCUCUUUAGGCCUCCAUCGCACAGACAGCUAUUUAACCUGCUAGCAACUGCCUCAAACAGGUGUAAAUACUCGCCCAGAGAACUCCUCGUGCUGCCAUGAUGGAAAAGGAAACGGCCUCUCCAGCUGGAAGAACAAGUGCUGUGUGGGCUCCCUGAAGUGGUGCAACACUGGGUCAUUGGAGAGCCACAGCGUGUUUGGGAACAGAACAGUCUGUGUUAUUUCAGCACAGCCUGUUGGAUGAAGGGCCAUUUCACAGGCAUUAUGGAUUAAUCUUUGGCAGGAUCUCUCCAGGAUCAAACAAAAUUGGAUGUUUAACCUCACGUGUCCUAGAGCUGAGAGUUCUCUUGUGAUAAACCAGGAUAGAGAGGAUUGAAUCUGACCCACAUUGGGUUAAACAUCACAUGCUUGUAAAUAUAUUUAAACUGAACCCUGAAUGAAAAGAUGAAAAUAUAGUGAGUAUACACAUCCUUGCUCAGGUGAGUAUAAUCUAACCCCUGAAAAAAUGAUUAAAUUCAUAACAUUAUAUUCCACUAAGUCGGGAAAACAUUGAGUCUUUAUUAUUUUAACUACUCUUACACAAACAGAAAAAAGAAAGAAAACGAUUAAAGACCUUUGAGAAAUCCCCUGAUAGUGUUCCUGUUCAGUUACAAAAGUGUCUUUUUCAAAUGUACAGUUGUAUUUUUAUAUUUGCUACACAGAAACACAGAUUCACAGCUGAAACCUCCCAUCGCUUCCCUCACUUGUUAUAAACUGUUUGUUAUAUUGGGGAGUGUAGAAAUAUUCCCAAGUUCAGAUUGACAGGAG